This 429-nucleotide ribosomal RNA is filed under the name Bacteroidota bacterium. RNAcentral's name for it is "Bacteroidetes bacterium partial 16S ribosomal RNA". It matches the Rfam family "Bacterial small subunit ribosomal RNA", at positions 355 to 776 of the family's 1533-position model. The record is from RNAcentral. Lineage: Bacteria; Pseudomonadati; Bacteroidota.
UAGGGAAUCUUCCGCAAUGGGCGAAAGCUUGACGGAGCAACGCCGCGUGAGUGAUGAAGGUCUUCGGAUCGUAAAACUCUGUUAUUAGGGAAGAACAAAUGUGUAAGUAACUAUGCACGUCUUGACGGUACCUAAUCAGAAAGCCACGGCUAACUACGUGCCAGCAGCCGCGGUAAUACGUAGGUGGCAAGCGUUGUCCGGAUUUAUUGGGCGUAAAGCGAGCGCAGGCGGUCAAUUAAGUCUGAUGUGAAAGCCCCCGGCUCAACCGGGGAGGGUCAUUGGAAACUGGUUGACUUGAGUGCAGAAGAGGAAAGUGGAAUUCCAUGUGUAGCGGUGAAAUGCGCAGAGAUAUGGAGGAACACCAGUGGCGAAGGCGACUUUCUGGUCUGUAACUGACGCUGAUGUGCGAAAGCGUGGGGAUCAAACAGG